UACGGAGGAUGCAAGCGUUAUCCGGAUUUAUUGGGCUUAAAGGGUGCGUAGGCGGCCUAUUAAGUCAGGGGUGAAAGACGGUAGCUUAACUAUCGCAGUGCCUUUGAUACUGAUAGGCUUGAAUAUACAUGAGGUAGGCGGAAUGUGACAAGUAGCGGUGAAAUGCAUAGAUAUGUCACAGAACACCAAUUGCGAAGGCAGCUUACUAAAGUAUGAUUGACGCUGAGGCACGAAAGCGUGGGGAUCAACCAGG
RNAcentral lists this ribosomal RNA (253 nucleotides) under uncultured bacterium. RNAcentral's name for it is "partial 16S ribosomal RNA". It matches the Rfam family "Bacterial small subunit ribosomal RNA", at positions 524 to 776 of the family's 1533-position model. The record is from RNAcentral.